Molecule: ribosomal RNA, 744 nt
Filed under: Bacillus licheniformis
Lineage: Bacteria; Bacillati; Bacillota; Bacilli; Caryophanales; Bacillaceae
Description: bacterial SSU rRNA
Rfam family: Bacterial small subunit ribosomal RNA
Source: RNAcentral
CGGACAGACGGGAGCUUGCUCCCUUAUGUUAGCGGCGGACGGGUGAGUAACACGUGGGUAACCUGCCUGUAAGACUGGGAUAACUCCGGGAAACCGGGGCUAAUACCGGAUGCUUGAUUGAACCGCAUGGUUCAAUUAUAAAAGGUGGCUUUUACCUACCACUUACAGAUGGACCCGCGGCGCAUUACCUAGUUGGUAGGUAACGGCUCACCAAGGCAACGAUGCGUACCCAACCUGAAAGGGUGAUCGGCCACACUGGGACUGAAACACGGCCCAAACUCCUACGGGAGGCAGCAGUAGGGAAUCUUCCGCAAUGGACAAAAGUCUGACGGAGCAACGCCCCGUGAGUGAUGAAGGUUUUCGGAUCGUAAAACUCUGUUGUUAGGGAAAAACAAGUACCGUUCGAAUAGGGCGGUACCUUGACGGUACCUAACCAAAAAGCCACGGCUAACUACGUGCCACCAGCCGCGGUAAUACGUAGGUGGCAAGCGUUGUCCGGAAUUAUUGGGCGUAAAGCGCGCGCAGGCGGUUUCUUAAGUCUGAUGUGAAAGCCCCCGGCUCAACCGGGAAGGGUCAUUGGAAACUGGGGAACUUGAGUGCAAAAAAGGAGAGUGAAAUUCCACGUGUAGCGGUGAAAUGCGUAGAGAUGUGAAGGAACACCAGUGGCGAAGGCGACUCUCUGGUCUGUAACUGACGCUGAGGCGCGAAAGCGUGGGGAGCGAACAGGAUUAGAUACCCUGGUAG